This is a long non-coding RNA of Limulus polyphemus (Atlantic horseshoe crab), 498 nucleotides long. RefSeq lists it as uncharacterized. The transcript is spliced from 3 exons. Lineage: Eukaryota; Metazoa; Arthropoda; Merostomata; Xiphosura; Limulidae. The record is from RefSeq and is a predicted model, not a curated record.
ACUUUGACAAAGACUACUGUUCCUAAAGUAUUUUAGUGUCUGAGAUUAAAACGUCAUCUUAUUUUGAAAGACAUCAGUUCCUAACGUCAAUUAUAGCAAAGAAAAUUUUAAAAGUAAGAAGAAAAAAUGUCUUUAAAAAUGAUGACAUUCAUCUUUAUUUGGUUUGUUUACUGGGUUGGGCCAAGUUUUGGAUCAGAGACCGUCCAAAAGCAGUGUGAAGAGACGUCAAUAACCGGAAUAGUUGCGUCCAUCGACGUCCUGGUUUCUCUUGCCAAACAAAACUUGAAAACCAGAGAAAAUCAUCUAAUCCAUCAAGAAACGGACCACAUAUGUCCACCUUCUUCUCCUGGACCUACUGAUUGUGCUGAUGUUUUGUUUAAUGGACACCGUGCCAGUGGAGCGUACCGUAUCUGGCCCAAGUCAUGGACGACUACUGGAAGUUUCAGUGUUUACUGUGACAUGGAUACUGAUGGAGGAGGCUGGACGGUAAGUAACGUU